GGCAGCAGUGGGGAAUCUUCCGCAAUGGGCGCAAGCCUGACGGAGCAACGCCGCGUGAGUGAAGAAGGCCUUCGGGUUGUAAAACUCUGUCAUCAGGGAAGAAGAAAGUGACGGUACCUGAGGAGGAAGCCCCGGCUAACUACGUGCCAGCAGCCGCGGUAAAACGUAGGGGGCGAGCGUUGUCCGGAAUUACUGGGCGUAAAGGGCGCGUAGGCGGUUAUCCAAGUCAGGGGUGAAAACCUUGGGCUCAACUCAGGGCCUGCCUCUGAAACUGGGUAACUUGAGGGCAGGAGAGGGGAGUGGAAUUCCCAGUGUAGCGGUGAAAUGCGUAGAUAUUGGGAGGAACACCAGUGGCGAAGGCGGCUCUCUGGCUUAACCCUGACGCUGAGGCGCGAAAGCGUGGGGAUCAAACAGGAUUAGAUACCCUGGUAGUCCACGCCGUAAACGAUGAGUGCUAAGUGU
RNAcentral lists this ribosomal RNA (462 nucleotides) under uncultured Bacillota bacterium. RNAcentral describes it as "bacterial SSU rRNA". It matches the Rfam family "Bacterial small subunit ribosomal RNA", at positions 347 to 823 of the family's 1533-position model. Lineage: Bacteria; Bacillati; Bacillota. The record is from RNAcentral.